GAUGAACGCUGGCGGCGUGCUUAACACAUGCAAGUCGAACGGUGAAGGCGGAGCUUGCUCUGCUGGAUCAGUGGCGAACGGGUGAGUAACACGUGAGCAAUCUGCCCCUGACUCUGGGAUAAGCGCUGGAAACGGCGUCUAAUACUGGAUACGAGCUGCGAAGGCAUCUUCAGCAGCUGGAAAGAAUUUCGGUCAGGGAUGAGCUCGCGGCCUAUCAGCUUGUUGGUGAGGUAAUGGAUCACCAAGGCGUCGACGGGUAGCCGGCCUGAGAGGGUGACCGGGCACACUGGGACUGAGACACGACCCAGACUCCUACGGGAGGCAGCAGUGGGGAAUAUUGCACAAUGGGCGAAAGCCUGAUGCAGCAACGCCGCGUGAGGGACGACGGCCUUCGGGUUGUAAACCUCUUUUAGCAGGGAAGAAGCGAAAGUGACGGUACCUGCAGAAAAAGCGCCGGCUAACUACGUG
This 468-nucleotide ribosomal RNA is filed under the name uncultured bacterium. RNAcentral describes it as "partial 16S ribosomal RNA". It matches the Rfam family "Bacterial small subunit ribosomal RNA", at positions 28 to 507 of the family's 1533-position model. The record is from RNAcentral.